Molecule: non-coding RNA, 7938 nt
Organism: Struthio camelus australis
Lineage: Eukaryota; Metazoa; Chordata; Aves; Struthioniformes; Struthionidae
Source: RefSeq, a predicted model, not a curated record
GCUAUCUGAAGUGGAUAUCCUGAGUGCCUGCACCCCAGGUAGCUGUUUGGAAGUAGAUGACGAAGUCGUCCGGUUGUAGCCCAGGAGACCUCUGUUGGGGCUAUUCCAAGCCACUGGGUUUCUGAGAUCAUCAAGAUGGCACUGACAUUUCGUGCUAGAAAAUGCUGUGUGGAAAACAAGGCACUACAGCAAGUCUGACUGUAUGGCUUUUGAUGGGGAGAAAGAGAGGACCAGUAGUUUUUGAAGGAAGAGGCCCUUGAAGGAAGAUUCUUGACUGAAUUCUCCACGUUUCUUAAAGAAGAACAGUCGUAACUAUGCUGAAGGUAGGCAGAAGAGGGUUUAAAGACCUACUCAGGAGAUCCAAGAAUGUACAAAUGUCUUUGGCUAAAGUGAGCCCUAGUUAUUUUGAAUUACAGUCUUCCUAAAAGAAAUAGCAAUCAUCAUUGUCUACACCCUAGUAAGAGCAGACAGCACAGAGAGAAUGAGAGAAAAUGUAAUAUGAAUUUUAUUUUUAAUAAAUCCAGGAAAAUUAAAUAUCAGUUUUGGCCUGAAUCAAUUCUAUUGAGUUAUUGUAAGGUGGGUGGAAUUGUGAGCAAUUGUAAACCUUUGGAUUUCAUGGGAUAUAUUUUUAAUUUUAAUAUCCAUAAAAGAAAUACAGCAGAUAUACCAGCUGUGUGUGCUAUGCCAUUAUGCCUCAGUGCUUACCUUAAGGAGGGGGAGUUUAUUCUCUAAGCCUACUCAGUACCAAGAUUGUUAUGGUAGUAUCUAUCGUAAUAGAAGUAAUACAGUAGAACCCUGUACAGCAGAUUUGUGCAUUUGGCUGAGUAAUCACAUAGACUUUGUAUAGGGACAUACUUCUGCAAUAAUUUACUUAGAUCCAAGUUAGAAUAUUUGUAUCUACCCCAACUUUAUUCUGAAAUUGAAUAAUCUUUGGCUUCAGAACAUAAAAUCCCCACGUUUUUUCAUGCUCUGUGGUAAAUAGGUUUUAAGCACUCCUAGGAAAGCGUAAUUUUGCUAAAAUGUAAGCAUGUCUUAAAUGUAGACCCUGAGAGAUGAUUAAUGAUUGUUUUCAUUGCCUUUAGUCUUGUCACUGGUGGAGGUGUUCCUAGAAUGAAAGUCUAGGUCUGGACAUUCCUGAAUUGAAGGGAGAUCCAUAUUUGAUAUUCAUAUACUAAUGUCCAUCAGCAGUAAAGUAUUCAGCCCCUUUGAACUGACAACAAACUUUGAAAUUUAUGCAGCAUUUAGUCUCUGGAAUUAUCAUUCAUUUACUGGAAAGUAGCAACCAGGCCUAGUGAUACUCUAUUAUUCUCCCUUCAUAUCUUAUUCUUGGGGAUAGUUCUUUUGGUAUGCAGGUACUGAACAGAAUGCACAAACCCCAGGUUGUAAGUGAGACAGUGAAAAUAUAAAGUACAAAUGGAGAAUAACUAUUCUACCUUCUGUCUCCCUUAUGAAGAGCAUAAACAGGGGGCUAGAGCUCUUCCAUUCUUCCUCCCAGCAAUCAAGGGAGAAGGAAGAGUGAUAUGCUAUCAGAAUGAUUGAAUUAUCACAGAUUGUAUCACUGUAAUCUUGUUGUAAAAUAUUCAUUAUAAUACUGUACCAACAUUCAAAGAGCUGUUAAGCUGCAAAACAAAUCGGAACACCACACAGUGAAUAAUUUGUGCUUUCCAUUGCCCUGUGUGAACAGUUUUUCAGAGAGAAAAAGCUUUUCUACAAUAGCUUUGGAAGGGAAGGCGAUUCUUAAAUAACAAGAGGAGGAAAGACAGUUCAGAGCUGUCCAUUACCAUCAUAUAGAAUCCUAACAACUGCUGCUGACUACCCAGGUGUCUAUGCGAAGAAAUUAAACAUUAGUUUCAGGUUAACAUAGAUUUUAAAAAUGCAAACUGUUUUUAAACUGAUUAGUGAAGCAAACAUUUAUUGUACCACAAGCAUCUUUGAUAUGUAUAAAUUGUAUAUUAAUAUAAACUAAAACAAAUAUAGUAUUACUCCCAAAAGAAACUAUUUCAGUAUAUAAGUAAAUGAAUGUAAACACGGUACUUAUAAAAGAUGUGUGUACACAUAUAUUUUUGUUUAUACAUAAGUAGAAAGAGUGUGAAUGUGUACCUUUGAUUCUAGUUAGUUUAGCUAAGUCAAGUCCAGAAAGUUGUUACAUAGAACUUACUGCUAUUUCAGAUUUCUUUAUGAUUAUGAAAAGCUGAAAAACAAAAAAGUGUAUUAUUUAGUUUCAUAAAAUAGUGCACAUUUUUAAAGGCAAAAGUUAGAAAGAUCUUUUUUCAUUUUACAGACCAAAUGGGAAUGCAAAAUACCACGUAGUGAAAAAAUUUCACAGUAACUGGUGUUCUGUCUCGGGUGGUGCAUCUCCUUAAUAAGGUAAAACUGUCCGUGCACUUACAUGCUGAAACUUCCUUUUCAUUGAUUAAGCACAUGUAGGUUAAAUUUUCCAAAAUGUCAAGAAUUCUAUUUUCGAAAGUAGCUUAGACCCUUAACAUUCCACAUCUCAUAGAAAAUUCCUGCAACAUAGACUCCCACCUGAUUAAGUCACAUGGAAAAAAAAAAAGAUUUACUUUGGUUUCUCAGUCAUUAGGACAUUUUUAUUUUAAUCUUUUGAUUGUAGUCCUGGUCCUUACCCCACAUGAAGGCAGGUUCAAAUCUGAAUUAACAUUAGCAUUGUGCUAAAGGGGACAAAGGAAGUGAGUGGAUAAAACAGUUGUAGUAUUGCAAAAAAUGACUCUUUUCAUAAAAAGCUCAGAGUGCUGUAUUUCUCAUUUUGCUUCCUAUUGGCUUGUAAUGUCUACUGCAGUUAGAGAUCAAACAGUUGGAAGACAGUAGAACAAAAUAAAUAAUACUUAAUUUUUAUAGUUAUGUUUAUACCUCUUUCCAAUUUUUAAAAGAUUUUUGAACGACCAUAGAACAACAUGAAGAAGGAAAAUGUAACGAUAAUCUUAAUUUGGCUUUUUCAUCCCAAGCCAUUUACAGCUUAAACUUUUAUUUAGCGAAAAACCAGUUUGUCUCUGCUAGCUCUGGAGUAAAUGCUACAGCUAUUUUAGAGUAAGCAAUAUGACUCCUGAAAAAUUGGAACGAAAAGGGAAAUAACCACAUUUAUUCGAAAAUCUGGAAAUAAUUUAAACAGGUAAAAUGAAACUGCUACAAUUGGAAUGCAGUACUUUGGUGAAUGGGGAUAUUAAUGGCUGGAGAGGCCGGGAAUUUAGUAUUAUAUCCUAGCUGACUGUAACAGGUAAUGCCUUAUCAGUGACUGUACUAUGACUAAUAAUAGACUAGGAUCACAUACUUCAUACACUAUCCAAAAUUCCUCAAAGCUGUCUAACCAGGGCUUUCUUUUAAAAAUUUAUAGAGACUUUUAGAACUAGAAUCUUAUUUGUUCUAAUUUUAGAUUGUUUCUACGUGUGGUUUUAUUUCAGGCCGUUAAUCAUAACUAUUAAAGUGAGAAUGAUCUUAUUUUUCCUCACUAGUAAAAGAACUAAUGAAACAGCUACUGUCAACAAUUUUACAUGAGCUGCAUGACAAGUUCUAGUUUCCACAGUGAAGUCCUUUUUCGUUGUCAAGUAAUACUAGAAGGAAAAAGUAAAAUAUUAGAAUUAGGCCUUCACUUCUGCAGAAAACCUACAACAUACACAGAAAAGAAAGGUAAGAGUGCUGGUAACCACUCAUAAAUUAAUUAUUGACUUAGCUCAGCUUGUUUCUGUGUAAAUACAAGAAAAUUAGUGCUUGAUAUUGCUAUUUAAUCUUUAUCCAUAUCUGAUUAUCAAAAUUAAAAACAAUUAUAUCUAUAAUACGCAAAUGACUGAGGGUUUUUUUGGCCAUAGGCCUCUUAGUUUUCAUUGAAAGAGACGGUUUAGUUCUGAUAGAGAAGAAUAUUUGCUGCCACCUUCUGGAGUUUAAUAUUACACAGCUUAGAAGAAGGUCUUACAAGAUGAAGCUUGGCUUAUGUGUGGAUAAAUAUUUGAAAAACAAGUGCAAAGGUAGUCCUAAUUUCUGACCUUGUGGUUCUGUAUGAGCAACGAAACCAUUUUAGAUUACUAUGAAGUAAAGGAGAUGAGCUAAUGAUCUUUUUCUAAAAUCAAAGAAAGUAAAUUUUGACUAUAUUGUAAUACUUGAAGCUCGCUGAACGUUUCCAGACUGUAAAAUAAAUUAUAAUUUUCUUAUCAAAUCAUUCAAGCAAAAAUGUUCACUCUUGGCUUUUUCUUAUUUAUUUCAUCCCAAAUGGUCUGACCAUUUCAGGUCAUUUUAACCAAAUGAACCCAAAGAUUUUGACCAUUUCAAAGAACCAGAGCAGGGAAAAAUACAUGGCAAUGCCAAAAAAAUUUAUCAUCCUUUUCCUUGAAAAGUGGUAGCACGUCAUGCUUUAGGAUGGGUUUGAGACUAAUCUGCAUAUCUGAAGUGUUUCAUAUUUCCAUGCAGACUUGCCUAAGUAUAUUCAAGUUGAGAGCCUUUCAGAAACUGUAGUUAAUAUAGGCUCAGUGGGAACAGUAUGCUCAACAGGAACACCUUACAAUUUACCACCUGGUUCCCAAGAACUCUGUAAGCACUGAUAAUAUUCUGUUAGGCAGCAGGACCUUAUCUAGAAUUGCAGCUCUAAGGCUGCUAAAGGCUCUGGGGUAUCUGGGCGCUGCACAAGAGAGCAGGGACACUGUCUUUCUUUUGCUUUCCAUACCUGCCUAAAUUGCAGGCAUACUCCCACAGGCAGGAGAAAUCACUGCAGCAUACCACAGGUCCUGCACUGCCUGCACAGCUGGGUUUUCUUUCCCCAAAUACUAGUUUCUGCAGAGGUGUGGUGCAUACCCAAGUGUCUUUCCAGCAUGAGCUCAGGACAUCAGGCUGCACACUCGCUGAUCAAGACUGAGAUGCACUGCAGAGCAUGCCCACCCCGUCACAGAGUCAAAGACUUCCUGGCUGGGCCCAGGCAGCCUGAACGAGGAAGGAGACUUUCAAGAGGGUGGUAGAAACAGGCAAUGGAAGAAGAGAGAAAAGAAUGGACAAAGGAGAACUAGGAGUUGCUGAUAUUUGAUACAGAAGGAAAAACUGUAUGCAAGACUGGCUUGGAAAGUGAUGAGAAUAAGACCUGAUGGGCAAGGUUCCUGAGCUUGGAAGAGAAGCUUUAGAAAUAGAAAAUUGACUUGUGUACCUGGCAAUGAGGCUAUGAUAAGGAGAUAGGACUGAAAAAAAGAGAUGAUGACAUGAGGCAAUGGAAGUAUGUUUGGGGAAAAGAGCCUGUGCCCACUACAGUACACUUUCCUCAGAGCUCCAGAGAAAUAGGAGUUUGUCCUUCCCUGAGCUGACUACUGUCAGAAAAGACUGUGAAACCCCACUAGGAACCUGUGCUGUCCUCCCACUGCCAAUUCACAGGUGUGAGGUCAACAUGAAAUUGCUGCCAGUUGCUAUACUAACUCAAAUGGCAGUUCUCCCUGAUGGUUCCUCCCAUGCUGGAGGGCCCUCUUAGUUACAGUACGCUCUGUGGUAAUAUUCUUGGGUUUGGUUUAUUCUUCUGAAAAAUCUUUGGGACAUAAACACACAAAGCUACCUUGAAGCAACGUAAGUAAAGUUGGAAAGUCGAGUAUUGAAAAGUUAUGAAAUGCAAGCAUCAUUGCCCAGUGCAGAUGAAUUUAAUUAAAUUGCAGGACCUCUGCCCCAUCCAGAGCAGAGUCAGGGCUUCAUUUAGAAAGUGUUAGGAUUAUAUAGUAAAAAAGCAUAUUAUGUGGGAGACGCUUGCACCAGUUGGAUUUCGUAGCUGGUCACAGAGGAUUGCCUUUCUGGGCUGCCGUCGGGAGAUCUGUGAUCUGUGAAUGCUUGCAGACUGGUGUUAGUGGGAAGCAUAGUUUGAUAUAGUAACUACUUCAUAUACUACUGGACUCUAAAAAUCCUAAGUGCCUCAAAUUGGACACCCAAGGCUGCUAAGUGUCCUAACAUCAAUGCCUCACUCUUAUGCAUACUUUUCCUAUUUGUAAAAUGCAGUAGUGUAAAAAUGAAUUACUGCUUCCAAAUCACUUGGAUACUAAGCAGAAAAACAUGACGAAAUAAAUAGUUCUGCAUGGAGAACAUGCUUCAGAAAGUGUACAUUAAAUAAGGAGCAGUGCCACACACAGAACAAUGUCAAAACAAAACAGUGAAGAGCUAUUCCUCAAACGAGCAGUACCAUUCUGUGCCUGAAUGAGUCAGGAGUCCUAUGGAAAAAAAUAGCAAAUGAUCACAUGAUUACAGGUGGUAUUGUCACACAAAUGCCUGAGGGGGCUGUGUGUGUGUGUGUGUGUGUGUGUGUGUUUGUGUUUGUGUAUACAUAUAUAUAUAUGUAAAGGUCAGGUCCUUGCCUAAAUACUGUUCUGUAGCAGUUCCAAGUCUGUCAAGUUUCUGAGUCAAGCCACCUCUCUGAAAGUAAUCUUAGACUGAGAAGAGUUUUUAAUUUUGUGUAUCUGAGGUGCUGACAGCUAUGCAACAGAGUACAGCACAAGUGCAGAUACACGUCACCAUAAGAAGUGUAGGUAUCUGCCUUGCAUUUUGUGGCAUUGUUGGAAUUUUUAAUGGUAUGCCAUCAUGAAAAGAUAUGCUUUUUUCAGUUGUCACAACUCUGCACUGUGCGCUAUCAGCUGAACAAGCAGCAAGGAAGGAUCUGAGAGCCUUUUCUGAAGAAACUUACAGCCCAAUUUAGUUUGUAAGAAAGGCUCAGGUAGCAUAGCUAGGGCUGCCAGAAAUAUCUUUACAUAUCCAAAUGUUUACUUAACCAAAGAGAAUUAAACUGCAGAGAGAUUUUGAGGUUCUCUUAUUGCCACAUUUCAGGCUAUUUAAGGCUGCUUAGGUUCCAUUUUUAGUCAUAGGCCUGAUAGGAGAAAAUUGCCAAGAUUCUAGGAAGAAAACUAAGUGCACCCUGAUGCACAUGCUUUGCUUUUGGUCAUGGCAACAGAGCCAUAUACCAGCAACAACAUGUACAAUGAGACUUGAAGAAGUAGCAUUCUCACAGAUCAAAGAAAAAAUCACUAGCAGUUACUGACAUUUUCUCAGUGAAAAAUGUAAGUAUAGUUUCUCAAAAACUUUCUUAAAAAUGAGAACAUUUGUCUGCAGAUAGUUACUGUAAAGAAACUUCCGCUUCUGAUAUAAAUAAACUGAAUUCUCUGUUCUGCAGUCAGUUAAAGCUCAUACUGAAAUCAAUGACCGUUGUUGCUCAGUGUCACCCUUUGUAAUCGAACAUGUGUUGCUGUGGUUGGGAUGGUAUUUUAUUUCUGUGUUGUCCCCCCUUUUCUUCUGUUCGUUCUACAUUUAAAAAAAAAAAGUCAAAAUCUAUCCUUUGAGAUAUCUGCAUAGAUAGAAUCAUCAAAAAUAGCCAUCUGUCUGUUCAGCAGUUUACUCUUUACAACUCUUUAGAAAUGACCUGGAUACUCUUACAGUAAAUUAUCUUGCAGUUGCCUGGGAGCAUGAAGGGUUUCUCCCUUUUCAAGAUUUCUAUCUCAAACUAUAUAAUAAGAAUCAAGAAUUCUUGUCUGAAAGCACUUACUGCUGUUUCAUUGAUUACCCCACAGAGCAAGCCCUCAUCCAGAAAGUACUGAACCAUCCGUAAGCACAGGUCAGUAAGUAAUUUUACUCAUAGCUGUGUUUACUCAGCCUAAGGGAAUGUACAGUUACUAUUAUAUCAUACUACCAUGUAAGUUCGUGCAGGUCUUAUUCCUAGACUUAACAUGCAUUGAAAUGAAAAGCAGUUUGUCAAGAUUGUUACAAACAGGAAUAGAUUUUUUCCUCUGAGAACUGCAUAGAGAACCGCAAGUGCUUCCUGUAGUAAGUGUCCAACCUGAAGAGCACUUGUUAAACAUAGCUCUUGACAGAUUCCAACUCCUCCCUUACUAUGUAAUUCCAUGCAAAGGUAAUGUUUACUAUAAAGUAAGAACAGUCAUUGUCAUGUGUACUGUGAAGCUGUAGCAGUGGCUACCAAGUGUAUUA